This 467-nucleotide ribosomal RNA is filed under the name uncultured bacterium. RNAcentral describes it as "partial 16S ribosomal RNA". It matches the Rfam family "Bacterial small subunit ribosomal RNA", at positions 28 to 507 of the family's 1533-position model. The record is from RNAcentral.
GACGAACGCUGGCGGCGUGCUUAACACAUGCAAGUCGAACGGAAAGGCCUCUUUCGGGGGGUACUCGAGUGGCGAACGGGUGAGUAACACGUGAGUAACCUGCCCUUGACUUUGGGAUAACUUCAGGAAACUGGGGCUAAUACCGGAUAGGAGCUCCUGCUGCAUGGUGGGGGUUGGAAAGUUUCGGCGGUUGGGGAUGGACUCGCGGCUUAUCAGCUUGUUGGUGGGGUAGUGGCUUACCAAGGCUUUGACGGGUAGCCGGCCUGAGAGGGUGACCGGCCACAUGGGGCGUGAGUGCGGGCCGAGACCCCUCGGGGGGGAAGAGGGGGGGAUGUUGGCAAAAGGGGUGGAGGCUGGAUGAAGAACGGCGGGGGGGGGGAGGGGGGCCUGGGGGUGGAAAACGGUUUUCCAUCAGGAAAAAGCUUGGUGGGAGGGUGGGGGAAAAAGAACCCCCGGCUAACUCGGUC